RNAcentral lists this ribosomal RNA (497 nucleotides) under uncultured bacterium. RNAcentral's name for it is "partial 16S ribosomal RNA". It matches the Rfam family "Bacterial small subunit ribosomal RNA", at positions 28 to 507 of the family's 1533-position model. The record is from RNAcentral.
GAUGAACGCUGGCGGCGUGCCUAAUACAUGCAAGUCGAGCGAACAGAUGAGGAGCUUGCUCCUCUGACGUUAGCGGCGGACGGGUGAGUAACACGUGGAUAACCUACCUAUAAGACUGGGAUAACUUCGGGAAACCGGAGCUAAUACCGGAUAAUAUAUUGAACCGCAUGGUUCAAUAGUGAAAGACGGUUUUGCUGUCACUUAUAGGUGGAUCCGCGCCGCAUUAGCUAGUUGGUAAGGUAACGGCUUACCAAGGCAACGAUGCGUAGCCGACCUGAGAGGGUGAUCGGCCACACUGGAACUGAGACACGGUCCAGACUCCUACGGGAGGCAGCAGUAGGGAAUCUUCCGCAAUGGGCGAAAGCCUGACGGAGCAACGCCGCGUGAGUGAUGAAGGUCUUCGGAUCGUAAAACUCUGUUAUUAGGGAAGAACAAAUGUGUAAGUAACUAUGCACGUCUUGACGGUACCUAAUCAGAAAGCCACGGCUAACUACGUG